RNAcentral lists this ribosomal RNA (804 nucleotides) under uncultured bacterium. Its description in RNAcentral is "bacterial SSU rRNA". It matches the Rfam family "Bacterial small subunit ribosomal RNA", at positions 9 to 796 of the family's 1533-position model. The record is from RNAcentral.
GAGUUUGAUCCUGGCUCAGGACGAACGCUGGCGGCGUGCCUAAUACAUGCAAGUUGAGCGCUGAAGGUUGGUACUUGUACCGACUGGAUGAGCAGCGAACGGGUGAGUAACGCGUGGGGAAUCUGCCUUUGAGCGGGGGACAACAUUUGGAAACGAAUGCUAAUACCGCAUAAAAACUUUAAACACAAGUUUUAAGUUUGAAAGAUGCAAUUGCAUCACUCAAAGAUGAUCCCGCGUUGUAUUAGCUAGUUGGUGAGGUAAAGGCUCACCAAGGCGAUGAUACAUAGCCGACCUGAGAGGGUGAUCGGCCACAUUGGGACUGAGACACGGCCCAAACUCCUACGGGAGGCAGCAGUAGGGAAUCUUCGGCAAUGGACGAAAGUCUGACCGAGCAACGCCGCGUGAGUGAAGAAGGUUUUCGGAUCGUAAAACUCUGUUGGUAGAGAAGAACGUUGGUGAGAGUGGAAAGCUCAUCAAGUGACGGUAACUACCCAGAAAGGGACGGCUAACUACGUGCCAGCAGCCGCGGUAAUACGUAGGUCCCGAGCGUUGUCCGGAUUUAUUGGGCGUAAAGCGAGCGCAGGUGGUUUAUUAAGUCUGGUGUAAAAGGCAGUGGCUCAACCAUUGUAUGCAUCGGAAACUGGUAGACUUGAGUGCAGGAGAGGAGAGUGGAAUUCCAUGUGUAGCGGUGAAAUGCGUAGAUAUAUGGAGGAACACCGGUGGCGAAAGCGGCUCUCUGGCCUGUAACUGACACUGAGGCUCGAAAGCGUGGGGAGCAAACAGGAUUAGAUACCCUGGUAGUUC